Long non-coding RNA from Mauremys mutica (yellowpond turtle), 943 nucleotides. RefSeq lists it as uncharacterized. The record is from RefSeq and is a predicted model, not a curated record. The transcript has 4 exons. NCBI's taxonomy places the organism in Eukaryota, Metazoa, Chordata, Testudines, Geoemydidae.
UGCAACAACACAUGGCAAUAGAAGUUGCAGCACUCCUUCAUUAAGAGAGACAACCACUAAUGUACAAAUUCUGUCCAUCUGCUCAUAGGUUGGGGAGGCUGAAAAAUGCUGGUAUAGCAGAGUCCUACAAUCCUUGAGGGAUGCAAACUGGGGACGUAUGUAGAGUGAGUCCCUGAGAAAUAUCCGUUUCAAAUAGCUUCGUAUAACGUACAGAACAGAACAUCCUCACCUGUGGUGAAUUAGCAGCACAUCCCUUGAGUGCUUUGGCCAUACCACUUCUCUGGCCAUAUCUGCCCACUUUGGGGGCUGUAUUGGCCAGUGGCUCCUGGCCUCCUGUUGGAGCAGCAAUGGCCACAGCAGAAGCGGGAUCAGUACACUCAGGAAGAAAUUUUUUUAGUCUCAUGGGACUCCUCUAAACUAGUCCAGCUGCAACUAUGAAGGCAGACAACAUAUGGCAUGAACAGAAUCCUGUUCUUUAUUUUGUGUCUGAGUUUAAAAUAUCCAGAUAUACAGGCAAUAAUUUCCCUAUGCUUAGACAAGAUAAGUGGAUCUUCUUCUGUGUAUCUCAUUUCCCUGACUUCUUUCUUCCUUCUCUCCCAGUCAAAUAUAGUUUAAUAGACUUAUCAAUGAUCUUGUCAUGUAGAGUUCGUGUUGCACAUGGAAUAUCUUGCUACAGUGAUUCUUCCUGUAUGUGAGGCAAAGAGACUUCCUUAAGUAUGAACUGUGGUUUGGGAGAAGGUAUUAUAGGCAUAACCUUAAAUGUUCCUAUGAUUAACAUACCUGAAUUGCUGUAGGCUUUGCUUUCUUGUUUGUUGUCAAUUUCUCUAUUGUAGGGGUGCUGAAUAUUCUGAAUGAAGUAAAGAUAAAAGCUGCCUUCUGGUGCCACUGAUUUAUUUUGAAAGGAACUUUAGCUCUUCCUACUGUCAUAAAAAGAUGUCCUUGC